GGCGGCGUGCCUAAUACAUGCAAGUCGAGCGAAUGGAUUAAGAGCUUGCUCUUAUGAAGUUAGCGGCGGACGGGUGAGUAACACGUGGGUAACCUGCCCAUAAGACUGGGAUAACUCCGGGAAACCGGGGCUAAUACCGGAUAACAUUUUGAACCGCAUGGUUCGAAAUUGAAAGGCGGCUUCGGCUGUCACUUAUGGAUGGACCCGCGUCGCAUUAGCUAGUUGGUGAGGUAACGGCUCACCAAGGCAACGAUGCGUAGCCGACCUGAGAGGGUGAUCGGCCACUGGGACUGAGACACGGCCCAGACUCCUACGGGAGGCAGCAGUAGGGAAUCUCCGCAAUGGACGAAAGUCUGACGGAGCAACGCCGCGUGAGUGAUGAAGGCUUUCGGGUCGUAAAACUCUGUUGUUAGGGAAGAACAAGUGCUAGUUGAAUAAGCUGGCACCUUGACGGUACCUAACCAGAAAGCCACGGCUAACUACGUGCCAGCAGCCGCGGUAAUACGUAGGUGGCAAGCGUUAUCCGGAAUUAUUGGGCGUAAAGCGCGCGCAGGUGGUUUCUUAAGUCUGAUGUGAAAGCCCACGGCUCAACCGUGGAGGGUCAUUGGAAACUGGGAGACUUGAGUGCAGAAGAGGAAAGUGGAAUUCCAUGUGUGCGGUGAAAUGCGUAGAG
This 673-nucleotide ribosomal RNA is filed under the name Bacillus thuringiensis. RNAcentral describes it as "bacterial SSU rRNA". It matches the Rfam family "Bacterial small subunit ribosomal RNA", at positions 38 to 695 of the family's 1533-position model. The record is from RNAcentral. Lineage: Bacteria; Bacillati; Bacillota; Bacilli; Caryophanales; Bacillaceae.